GAUGAAGAACGUAGCGAAAUGCGAUACGUUAUGUGAAUUGCAGAAUUCCGUGAAUCAUCGAAUCUUUGAACGCACAUUGCGCCCGCCAGCAUUCUGGCGGGCAUGCCUGUUCGAGCGUCAUUUCAACCCUCGACGUCCCCUGGGACGUCGGCCUUGGGGACCGGCAGCACCCCGCCGGCCCUGAAAUGGAGUGGCGGCCCGUCCGCGGCGACCUCUGCGCAGUACAACCACUCGCACCGGGAACCCGACGCGGCCCGCCGUGAAACCCCCAACCUCUGAACGUUGACCUCGGAUCAGGUAGGACUACCCGCUGAACUUAAGCAUAUCAAUAAGCGGAGGA
This 340-nucleotide unclassified non-coding RNA is filed under the name soil metagenome. RNAcentral's name for it is "partial contains 5.8S ribosomal RNA, internal transcribed spacer 2, and large subunit ribosomal RNA". The stretch from base 1 to 120 matches the Rfam family "5.8S ribosomal RNA", at positions 35 to 154 of the family's 154-position model. The record is from RNAcentral.